Molecule: ribosomal RNA, 253 nt
Filed under: uncultured bacterium
Lineage: Bacteria
Description: partial 16S ribosomal RNA
Rfam family: Bacterial small subunit ribosomal RNA
Source: RNAcentral
UACGUAGGGUGCGAGCGUUAAUCGGAAUUACUGGGCGUAAAGCGUGCGUAGGCGGUUGGCAAAGUCAGCUGUGAAAUCCCCGGGCUUAACCUGGGAAUGGCAUUGGUGACUGCACGGCUAGAGUGUGUCAGAGGGGGGUAGAAUUCCACGUGUAGCAGUGAAAUGCGUAGAGAUGUGGAGGAAUACCGAUGGCGAAGGCAGCCCCCUGGGAUAACACUGACGCUCAUGCACGAAAGCGUGGGGAGCAAACAGG